GUGUCCUUGUCAUACGUGGCUAACGUCAGAUAAGAGAGCGGUCGUGAAGUGCCGGCAAAGGGGCCGGACUCUGGAGCGAUCCAGAGUUUCAGUUGAGAUGUUGCCCGACAGUCGGCAUUACCUGAUCCCCCGAUCUCAGGUACCGAUAGCCGUGAGGGUAGAUCAUCCGAGCUGAACAUGGAUAGGACACCAGGGGCUUAAUCCACCCCGCUCCCACCGGUGGGCAGGACCGGCAAAUGAUAAGGUGGUCGUGGUGACUUCCCGCCUUCUCUCGAACUGGGUUGAGAGAUGAUCAGCGAAGGCGUUGCCCCGUUAAUACAUGCUAGGCCCUAUGGGCCAGCGUUGGGAUAAUUAUUAUUAUUUUUUUUUCCUUGAAAUCGGUUACAGCUCUGACGUCCGCCAUUUGGACAAGCGGGAAGAAAAAUCUCAACAACACCAAGAACUCAAGCGACUGCUGGAAGCGGCCGGAUGAACGGUCCACUACUCCACCAAUGAAUGCCUUGCGCUCGGAGUGACUGGCUCAAGUCAAAGAAUCAAAGACCGUGCGAAGGAUGCUGCGGCACUGGCUGCCGAUUAUCAUGUGCUAUGGCUGCAUCAUAGCAAUAAGCAGGAGUGGAGCUGGUGGAUGCAGGCGGUGGUGCAGGCUGGGUUAGACAUGAGCGUGUGCGCACGCGUGUGGUUUUCCCCAUCUUACUUUGCACGGCCUAACCUGCUUCCUCGUGAGGUGCUGCUUACCAUGUAGACGCGUGGUGCCGUGUAGCCCGGGCCCUUGGUGCCGCUGACGAACUGGAUGUGCAGGCCGCCGUACCGGGGGCUGACGGCGGCGUAGUAGUUGACUGUAGCCCAUGGCCGCCCCUUGACGCGCUUGUCGAAGAUGACGAUGGACUUGGCCACGCCACAGAUAUAUACCGCCCGUGGGCCUUGGGCCGCAGCUGCAGCUUCUUGGCGUCUGUAAAUAUAAGCCUCCAGAUGUACUCCGUCGCCAGGUCGCUCUCCUCCUUGGGGAAGUAGGUGGGCGGUGGCGUGCCAGCUGGGGCCGGGGCGUCUGCAGCACCAGCGUGCGGGAAGGUAGCGGGCGCUGCAGAAGUCUGUGCGAGUUUGGCCGAGACCCUCAUUGGCGCCCCUGCCCCGCCUCACGUUUCGCCCCCAAACUUGAUUUCAACCUCUCCAAUUUUAGCUCCACUUUCCACAGCGCCAAGCCCUACUAUCAGGCGAGGCCUGGCGAGGAUUUGCCCGCACCCCCGUCCGCUUAGGAGUACGGCAGAGGCCUGGAAUCUAUGUCUACGCGCCUCCUCUUGUCGUGCACGUCUAUACCCUGUGAAGCUUAGGUGACCUGGUGACUAGCUGGGCUUGUUUGCACGGCCAAAGCCCCUUGCCUCACGUUGUGCCCCCACAUGCGAACACACCUUGGAGUGUCCUAGCGCCUGGGCUCUUGCUGUGGUGAAAGCUCUUACUUUACUUUCCUGUGGAUGCGGGCGGCGUGGGCAGGGUGCGCGUGUGGGGGCAACAUGCGACAAUGGACAAGGCGAAGUUCGGUCAGGCCUUAGGGAUGGCCCUGCGCCUUGUGGGCUAUGCGCACACGUGCAUAUAGAUUGUGGUAAGCGGGGCGGGCGGGGUCAGAGGUGCGCAGAGGGGGUCGGGAUGGGGGCUCCGGAUGGGGGGGGGGGUCGUUUCCAGCUUGCGAGCUUAAGGGCAGCGAGGGGCCGGAGCGAGACUUUACUGGACCCGCAUUUCCUUAAACACAGCGCUCACUAUACUUGCCCUUGAAUAACCAUUAGCGUACCUAGUGAGGAAGCGGUUCCAAUUUGUUUCGCUUCCUUGCUCGCUGCGUAGUCGCCACAAACGGGCUUCUGGUCGAGGGGGCCCCAACUCCCGAACUCGCACAGACUUCUGCAGCGGAGUGAAGGGGGGCGCAGCUUCGCGGCUAGGGCUGCGUUUGGCCUCCCCGCGGCCUCAGGACCUGUAGCAGGUAAAAGUCAACGCGACGGAGCAAAGCGGCCGGGCUCAGGAGCGUCCUACGAGGAGUUGGCAUCACGAUUCUAGUAUCUUCGUGCUCGCACCUGGAGCGUCGUCGUAACGCACUGCUUUGUGCACUGGUUAAAACUGUAUCGAAGGCGUAUUGGGCUCAAAGGAACACACGAAAACCGAGAUGUUGAGAAGAAGCUUCGACUUACAUAUGCACGGCGUGUGGCCCAAACCGCCACGCCCCUCGCCCGACACCUCUCCUGCCCCCUCGCACCCCGCGGAGCUCUGGGCCUUGGUAGCGGCGGUACCGAAUCGACCACGGCAGAGGUUGCUUAGCAAUAAGUUGGUGUGUAACGUCGGUUCAGACCCGAGUUCGAUCCUCCCCAAAUUCGGUACAGGGGAAACCUCCGUGCGUAUUCAAAUCACGCACAGGCGCUCCGCAGGGACCGCACGGCUCUUCAGUCGUGUCCUUGUCAUCCGUGGCUAACGUUAGAUAAGAGAGCGGUCGUGAAGUGCCGGCAAAGGGGCCGGACUCUGGAGCGAUCUAGAGUUUCAGUUGAGAUGUUGCCUGACAGUCGGCAUUACCUGAUCCCCCGAUCUCAGGUACCGAAAGCCGUGAGGGUAGAUCAUCCGAGCUGAACAUGGAUAGGACACCAGGGGCUUAAUCCACCCCGCUCCCACCGGUGGGCAGGACCGGCAAAUGAUAAGGUGGUCGUGGUGACUUCCCGCCUUCUCUCGAACUGGG
RNAcentral lists this long non-coding RNA (2710 nucleotides) under Chlamydomonas reinhardtii. Its description in RNAcentral is "long non-coding RNA (CREI_LNC000226)". Lineage: Eukaryota; Viridiplantae; Chlorophyta; Chlorophyceae; Chlamydomonadales; Chlamydomonadaceae. The record is from RNAcentral.